UACGGAAGGAGCAGGGGGAAUAUUGCACAAUGGGCGCAAGCCUGAUGCAGCCAUGCCGCGUGUAUGAAGAAGGCCUUCGGGUUGUAAAGUACUUUCAGUCGUGAGGAAGGUGUUAAGGUUAAUAACCUUAGCAAUUGACGUUAGCGACAGAAGAAGCACCGGCUAACUCCGUGCCAGCAGCCGCGGUAAUACGGAGGGUGCGAGCGUUAAUCGGAAUUACUGGGCGUAAAGGGCACGCAGGCGGUUAAUUAAGUUGGAUGUGAAAUCCCCGGGCUUAACCUGGGAAUGGCAUUCAAGACUGGUUAGCUAGAGUCUUGUAGAGGGGGUAGAAUUCCAUGUGUAGCGGUGAAAUGCGUAGAGAUGUGGAGGAAUACCGGUGGCGAAGGCGGCCCCUGGACAAAGACUGACGCUCAUGUGCGAAAGCGUGGGGAGCAAACAGGGAUUAGAUACC
RNAcentral lists this ribosomal RNA (451 nucleotides) under uncultured bacterium. RNAcentral's name for it is "bacterial SSU rRNA". It matches the Rfam family "Bacterial small subunit ribosomal RNA", at positions 340 to 786 of the family's 1533-position model. The record is from RNAcentral.